ACGAACGCUGGCGGCAUGCCUAACCCAUGCAAGUCGAACGAUCCCUUCGGGGAUAGUGGCGCACGGGUGCGUAACGCGUGGGAACCUGCCCUUAGGUUCGGAAUAACUCAGAGAAAUUUGAGCUAAUACCGGAUAAUGUCUUCGGACCAAAGAUUUAUCGCCUUUGGAUGGGCCCGCGUUGGAUUAGCUAGUUGGUGGGGUAAAGGCCUACCAAGGCGACGAUCCAUAGCUGGUCUGAGAGGAUGAUCAGCCACACUGGGACUGAGACACGGCCCAGACUCCUACGGGAGGCAGCAGUGGGGAAUAUUGGACAAUGGGCGAAAGCCUGAUCCAGCAAUGCCGCGUGAGUGAUGAAGGCCUUAGGGUUGUAAAGCUCUUUUACCCGGGAUGAUAAUGACAGUACCGGGAGAAUAAGCCCCGGCUAACUCCGUG
RNAcentral lists this ribosomal RNA (432 nucleotides) under uncultured bacterium. RNAcentral describes it as "partial 16S ribosomal RNA". It matches the Rfam family "Bacterial small subunit ribosomal RNA", at positions 29 to 507 of the family's 1533-position model. The record is from RNAcentral.